UACGGGGGGGGGCAAGCGUUGUUCGGAAUUAUUGGGCGUAAAGAGCUCGUAGGCGGUUUGUCGCGUCUGCCGUGAAAGUCCGGGGCUCAACUCCGGAUCUGCGGUGGGUACGGGCAGACUAGAGUGAUGUAGGGGAGACUGGAAUUCCUGGUGUAGCGGUGAAAUGCGCAGAUAUCAGGAGGAACACCGAUGGCGAAGGCAGGUCUCUGGGCAUUAACUGACGCUGAGGAGCGAAAGCAUGGGGGAGCGAACAGG
This 255-nucleotide ribosomal RNA is filed under the name uncultured bacterium. RNAcentral describes it as "partial 16S ribosomal RNA". It matches the Rfam family "Bacterial small subunit ribosomal RNA", at positions 524 to 776 of the family's 1533-position model. The record is from RNAcentral.